This 773-nucleotide ribosomal RNA is filed under the name uncultured Neocallimastigales. RNAcentral describes it as "partial large subunit ribosomal RNA". It matches the Rfam family "Eukaryotic large subunit ribosomal RNA", at positions 24 to 632 of the family's 3401-position model. Lineage: Eukaryota; Fungi; Neocallimastigomycota; Neocallimastigomycetes; Neocallimastigales. The record is from RNAcentral.
UAUGUGAUCGUCUCUCGCAUAUCAAUAAGCGGAGGAAAAGAAACUAACAAGGAUUCCCCUAGUAACGGCGAGUGAAGCGGGAAGAGCUCAAAUUUGAAAUCUUAAAGGGUUUCCCUUUACGAAUUGUAGUUUAAAGAAGUGUUUUCUGUUGAGGUUUUGGUAAAAGUUCUUUGGAAUAGGACAUCAUAGAGGGUGAGAAUCCCGUAUUUGACCUUUACUUUCAACUUUGUGAUACACUUUCAAAGAGUCGGAUUGUUUGGGAAUGCAGUCCAAAAUGGGUGGUAAAUUUCAUCUAAAGCUAAAUAUUGGCGAGAGACCGAUAGCGAACAAGUACCGUGAGGGAAAGAUGAAAAGAACUUUGAAAAGAGAGUUAAACAGUACGUGAAAUUGUCAAAAGGGAAGCGUUUGACACCAGUGUUGUUUUUCUGAAAAUCAAUUAAAGAACUGUUUAUGCUAAGCUGUUUAGACUUUAUCAGCUAUCUGUUUAGUUUUGAGCUUUUCUUUAAUGCACUUUUCAGUUAACAAGUCAACAUCAAUUUCUUUUGCUGUAAAAAAGCUUGAGGAAGGUGGCUUGAGAUUCGUCUUAAGUGUUUAUAGCCUCUUGCCUAUGCAGUCGGAGAGAUUGAGGUCUGCAGCGUAGAUCCUUCGGGGCUAAAUGCAUUUGUGCUAAGUUAUAGCAUUUUAUAGACAACUUGUUGACUAUGAUUUGUCUUGUAGCUUACUCGCUUAUGUUAUUUUACCUACGCUUAGGAUGUUGAAGACUCUACAGAGAU